RNAcentral lists this ribosomal RNA (440 nucleotides) under uncultured bacterium. RNAcentral describes it as "partial 16S ribosomal RNA". It matches the Rfam family "Bacterial small subunit ribosomal RNA", at positions 338 to 795 of the family's 1533-position model. The record is from RNAcentral.
CCUACGGGAGGCAGCAGUGGGGAAUAUUGGACAAUGGGCGGAAGCCUGAUCCAGCGACGCCGCGUGAGUGAAGAAGUAGUUCGGUAUGUAAAGCUCCAUCAGCCGGGAAGAAAAUGACGGUACCUGACUAAGAAGCCCCGGGUAACAACGUGCCAGCAGCCGCGGCAAGACGUAGGGGGCAAGGGUUAUCCGGAUUUACUGGGGGUAAAGGGGGCGUAGACGGUGCAGCAAGUCUGAUGGGAAAGGUCGGGGGCAAACCCCGGGCCUGCAUUGGAAACUGGUGAACUGGGGUACAGGAGAGGUAGGCGGAAUGCCCAGGGUAGCGGUGAAAUGCGUAGAUAUUAGGAGGAACACCAGUGGCGAAGGCAGCUUACGGGACUGUAACUGACGUUGAGGCUCGAAAGCGUGGGGAGCAAACAGGAUUAGAUACCCCAGUAGUC